GGUGCUGUGGCUCAAAAGGGUAGGGCACCGGCUCCAUAUGCCGGAGGUAGUGGGUUCAAACCCAGCCGCGGCCA
Non-coding RNA from Otolemur garnettii (small-eared galago), 74 nucleotides. The record is from Rfam. NCBI's taxonomy places the organism in Eukaryota, Metazoa, Chordata, Mammalia, Primates, Galagidae.